CUUAACUUAUUUAUUUAACACUUUAACGCUGAACUGAACUUACAAUAAAUUCCGAUCAAAUAUUAUUAUGUUUGACACGUCUCGAUACUUCAGAUUCUCGUCGCUAACUGACUACUUACAAAAAGAAUUACGUUAAUAAUAAAAUAGAAUAGUUAAAAUACAUGUACGAUGUGAUAAAAUAACAUAUAGUAAAGUAUAAAUAUAACAAGGUAUUAAUAAUUUUGAUAAUUAAAUUUUCUUUUUCGGCUGAUAAAGUAGAGAGUUUCUUUAAUUUGUUGGUACAGUUGGCAAAGUUGGUACAGCGUACCUUAAUCCAAAGUUAGCGUAAAGUGGCUCUGAAGUCCGCUGCAAUCAUAAUUUCUUAAUUGAAGCGCUUUCCUGCAGACAAAUUGAUCAACAUCAUUUGAUCACUAACCUACCACGAGAGUUUCCAAUCCUAUAUACAGACCUAUAUAUGACCGAGAUCAGGAGUCCAGACCCCAAAUGUGGAACACAAAAAGGCAUUGAAUGUCACGGCUAUUAUGUACCUCGUGUUUUUCCUCUGCAGUGUGCAAUUGACUAUGUAGCCUGACUUUUUCUUUAUACUCUCUACUUCCACCUCUACUAUGAUCUCUGUCUCUAAAUAAAUUAUACAACAUUACAAUAAAACUGAAAAAUAAACAUAUUAA
Molecule: long non-coding RNA, 668 nt
Organism: Bombus impatiens (common eastern bumble bee)
Lineage: Eukaryota; Metazoa; Arthropoda; Insecta; Hymenoptera; Apidae
Exons: 2
Source: RefSeq, a predicted model, not a curated record